Molecule: ribosomal RNA, 253 nt
Filed under: uncultured bacterium
Lineage: Bacteria
Description: partial 16S ribosomal RNA
Rfam family: Bacterial small subunit ribosomal RNA
Source: RNAcentral
UACUAAGUUUUCCCUCUUUCCUCGGAAUUACUGGGCGUAAAGCGUGCGUAGGUGGUUUGUUAAGUCAGAUGUGAAAGCCCCGGGCUCAACCUGGGAAUUGCAUUUGAUACUGGCAGACUAGAGUGCGGUAGAGGAGAGUGGAAUUCCCGGUGUAGCAGUGAAAUGCGUAGAGAUCGGGAGGAACAUCAGUUGCGAAGGCGGCUCUCUGGACCAGCACUGACACUGAGGCACGAAAGCGUGGGGAGCAAACAGG